Molecule: long non-coding RNA, 572 nt
Filed under: Triticum aestivum (bread wheat)
Lineage: Eukaryota; Viridiplantae; Streptophyta; Magnoliopsida; Poales; Poaceae
Description: long non-coding RNA (TAES_LNC026976)
Source: RNAcentral
CCCGCCGCGCUGCUAGCGAAGUACUCUGACCCGCUGGUCUACACGGGGCCGAUCAGGGUCCGUACAGGCCACGAGAUCCUGCGCAUCUCCUCCUACCUGCUGCACAACCUGAAGAAGGUGACGGUCCCGUUCGUGGUCCUGCACGGCACCGCGGACCGUGUGACGGACCCCCUAGCCUCGCAGGAGCUCUACACGGAGGCCGCGUCGAGGCACAAGGACCUGCGUCUGUACGAGGGGUUCCUGCACGACCUGCUCUUCGAGCCCGAGCGCGACGAGAUCGCCGCCGACAUCAUCGGGUGGAUGGACCGGACGCUCGGUCUGCAAGCCGUAUGAAGGGCAGCUGUUGUCUGAAGAUGGGGGAGGAGCUCAACAUCAUGUGCGGAUCGCUCCGGUCAGAGCCAUGGGAUUGCAGCCAUGGGCUUCAUGGCAUGGCAAGACAUGCAUGAUGGCUUUGGUCUGGUUCUGAUUGUAUUGUUUGCGGUGAUCCUCGUCUUACGAUGCUGCCGGUACAGACCAGUGGACUGAAAAGCCAGUGGUUUGUGGUUUGUAUUAAUGCUACACUAUCUAUAAUA